This is an RNA transcript of Topomyia yanbarensis, 519 nucleotides long. RefSeq lists it as uncharacterized. Lineage: Eukaryota; Metazoa; Arthropoda; Insecta; Diptera; Culicidae. The transcript is spliced from 2 exons. The record is from RefSeq and is a predicted model, not a curated record.
ACGUUUCCGAAAGACGGAUCAUGUACUAGAAGGUGAGUUAACUAAUUUUGUGUUGUUUUUUCAUGUUUUUUCAGGUGAAACGGACUACCAACCCAACAUAAACAAAUCCACUCAGAUGGAGGCAGGGAUGUUUCCGCGCGGCACUGGACGGUUCUGGACGGACGGAUUUGGACUCUUGAAGCGGACGAUGGAUUUUAGAAUUGAAGGAUGUUGCAUGCAGCUAAACUAGGAGCGGAUACGGACCACGGCACCAGGCCGGAACUACUUUUGGUUAGCACACGCCGGACGGACUGCUGCCAGCAUACGGGAAUUGCCUCAAACGGCCUAUUUGAAGACAGCUAUAACGGAUGCUGAGAAGGGAAGUUGACUUCCAGUUAAAGGUAAGUGUGUGAACAAAUUUUAAUGUUUUCUUUUUCAUUUUAGGAACAAUCGGACGGCGGAACCCAAGAUGUCAAUCAACCCCGAAGGACCCCAACCCCAACAUGAACCCACAUUUAACAUAAACUCCCACAUUAAACA